RNAcentral lists this transfer RNA (68 nucleotides) under human gut metagenome. It matches the Rfam family "tRNA". From Rfam's summary of the family: Transfer RNA (tRNA) molecules are approximately 80 nucleotides in length. Their secondary structure includes four short double-helical elements and three loops (D, anti-codon, and T loops). Further hydrogen bonds mediate the characteristic L-shaped molecular structure. tRNAs have two regions of fundamental functional importance: the anti-codon, which is responsible for specific mRNA codon recognition, and the 3' end, to which the tRNAs corresponding amino acid is attached (by aminoacyl-tRNA synthetases). tRNAs cope with the degeneracy of the genetic code in two manners: having more than one tRNA (with a specific anti-codon) for a particular amino acid; and 'wobble' base-pairing, i.e. permitting non-standard base-pairing at the 3rd anti-codon position. The record is from RNAcentral. RNAcentral also lists the same sequence under 1 other name.
CGGAUAUAGUUUAGUGGUAAAACUUCAGCUUCCCAAGCUGAUAAGGCGGGUUCGAUUCCCGUUAUCCG